RNAcentral lists this long non-coding RNA (354 nucleotides) under Medicago truncatula (barrel medic). RNAcentral describes it as "long non-coding RNA (MTRU_LNC002862)". Lineage: Eukaryota; Viridiplantae; Streptophyta; Magnoliopsida; Fabales; Fabaceae. The record is from RNAcentral.
GAGGACCCGUCCCCACCAUCGACAUACUCAAUGGCUGGACGAAACACCUCCUAGAGGUCAUCUUUCUCUUUCUUCACAACUUUCGUUUAUGAACCUUAUCUUUCACUAGCUUUGAGAGCAUUUUCUAGUUUCGUCUUCUCCCAGUCAAAAUUAUCCACUUUUUCUGCAAGAGAGUCCCCCUUGGCUGUUAAGUUAGUGACUGGCUCAUUCUUCGUAACAAGUUCGUCAUCAAGCUGCCCGUAUCUCGUAGUUAUUCUUCUGUCGUUGAAGAUUAUUUUGAAUCCACAUCUCCUCCACCUCCUAAGUAGCUUUUUUUUUCAUCAAAGCUUCCCCACCUCCGCCAAGUAAUUUUAC